CCUACGGGUGGCAGCAGUGAGGAAUAUUGGUCAAUGGCCGGAAGGCUGAACCAGCCAUGCCGCGUGAAGGUCAGUGCCCUAUGGGCGUUAAACUCCCUUUGUGCGGGAGCAAUAAUGGUCACGUGUGGCCAGACGAGAGUACCGUACGAAUAAGCAUCGGCUAACUCCGUGCCAGCAGCCGCGGUAAUACGGGGGAUGGCAGCGUUAUACGGAUUUUUUGGGUUUAAAGUGUGCGUAGGCCGUGAGGUAAGUCAGCGGUGAAAUGCCCCCGCUCAACGGGGUGAAGUGCCAUUGAUACUGCCUUGCUGGAAUGCGGAUGCAGUGGGAGGAAUGUGUGGUGUAGCGGUGAAAUGCAUAGAUAUCACACAGAACACCGAUUGCGAAGGCAGCACACG
Molecule: ribosomal RNA, 395 nt
Filed under: uncultured bacterium
Lineage: Bacteria
Description: partial 16S ribosomal RNA
Rfam family: Bacterial small subunit ribosomal RNA
Source: RNAcentral